This 74-nucleotide transfer RNA is filed under the name Deltaproteobacteria bacterium. RNAcentral's name for it is "tRNA-Trp". It matches the Rfam family "tRNA". Rfam says of the family: Transfer RNA (tRNA) molecules are approximately 80 nucleotides in length. Their secondary structure includes four short double-helical elements and three loops (D, anti-codon, and T loops). The record is from RNAcentral. Lineage: Bacteria; Pseudomonadati; Myxococcota; Myxococcia.
UCCCAGGUAGCUCAGUUGAUAGAGCGCGCUUACCAAAAGCGAGGUCGGUGGUUUAAUUCCACCCCUGGGAACCA